Molecule: ribosomal RNA, 434 nt
Filed under: uncultured Lachnospiraceae bacterium
Lineage: Bacteria; Bacillati; Bacillota; Clostridia; Lachnospirales; Lachnospiraceae
Description: bacterial SSU rRNA
Rfam family: Bacterial small subunit ribosomal RNA
Source: RNAcentral
ACGGAAGGCAGCAGUGGGGAAUAUUGCACAAUGGGGGAAACCCUGAUGCAGCGACGCCGCGUGAGUGAAGAAGUUAUUCGUAAUGUAAAGCUCUAUCAGCAGGGAAGAAAAUGACGGUACCUGACUAAGAAGCCCCGGCUAACUACGUGCCAGCAGCCGCGGUAAUACGUAGGGGGCAAGCGUUAUCCGGAUUUACUGGGUGUAAAGGGAGCGUAGACGGUUCUGCAAGUCUGAUGUGAAAGGCAGGAGCUCAACUCCUGGACUGCAUUGGAAACUGUAGAACUAGAGUGCCGGAGAGGUAAGCGGAAUUCCUAGUGUAGCGGUGAAAUGCGUAGAUAUUAGGAGGAACACCAGUGGCGAAGGCGGCUUACUGGACGGUAACUGACGUUGAGGCUCGAAAGCGUGGGGAGCAAACAGGAUUAGAUACCCUGGUA